GGGUAAGCAACCAACUUCAAUCAUUCUAUCACAAUGCUUGAGUGCAUCAUCACUCAUUUUAUUAUCACAGAGAACCUUGAGGAAACAAUUAUAAGUAACUAUAUCAGGUGGGUAACCUUUCUUUCCCAUCUCUUCCAAAAACAUGUAAGCUUCCUGGACCUUUCCAGCCAUACACAUCCCUUCAAUCAGUUCCUUGUAUGUAGAAACGUCAGGAAGACAACCACUUUUUAUCAUGUAUUCC
This 241-nucleotide unclassified non-coding RNA is filed under the name Hevea brasiliensis (rubber tree). Lineage: Eukaryota; Viridiplantae; Streptophyta; Magnoliopsida; Malpighiales; Euphorbiaceae. The record is from RNAcentral.